CUCAACGAGCAAUAUAGUGAAGACUUUUGCAAAAUACUUCAGAAGAAAAGCAGAAAAAUCUCUAUAACCACAGUGCCCAACACCGUAUGCCAGUUUCCACAGGAGAAAUCUGGAAGUGGUUGAGAACUGACUUCCAAGGAACAGGAACAGUGUGGGAAAGUCCUUUCCUCCUCCAUCAACAGACUUUCAUUAGAUAGGUCAUUAAUUUUUAGUAUCUGAAUUAGCUUUAACUACAAGAAUUUGGAAUUA
Molecule: long non-coding RNA, 249 nt
Filed under: Anas platyrhynchos platyrhynchos (common mallard)
Lineage: Eukaryota; Metazoa; Chordata; Aves; Anseriformes; Anatidae
Description: lncRNA (ENSAPLG00000026047.1)
Source: RNAcentral